AGCAAUUACAAACCUGUCUGGGUGGGAAUGCUCUGUGUUGUAACUACUUAGCUGAAAAAUAUUUGAAGACUAGUAUCUGGUGAAGGCAACUUCAGAACUGUGCUCACUGAGGAAGAAUAAAAUGCAGAAGAUGCAGGAAUUCAAAUAGAGUGUGUGGCAAGACUUUGAUCAAGAGAAAGAUGAUCUCAAAGAGCUGGCUUGAAUAUUCAAAGCCAAGAAUGUACCUGCUGGAUUGAGGCACUGAUCACCAAGCUCAGUCUAAGUGGACAAAGACUUGAAGUGAAUUCCUUUCCUUGCCCUUCAGGUUUUCUACUUCAGAGACACUGCACUGCUCCAUAACACUCUUUGACUAAAAAAUUCUUUGUGGAUAUAUAACUCUUGAUAUUUAAAUGCUUUAUGACUUUCCUUUCUAAGUGUUGUAAAUAUUUAUUUAGCUUUAUGUAGUUCUAGUCCUACAAAUCUUGAAACUUUUAAUGUUCAAAACAUGGAUUUAUAUGAAAGCUAAUAAACUGUUGUAACUGGCUCAGUUUACAAAGAGUUGUAAUAAUUAUUUCAGAAUUAUUUUUUUAAUAUCUAACAGGAUAUGUCUACAAGCAAGUAAACUAGAUUUUAUUAUCAUAAUAAGGGGCAUUUGUAACUAAGAUGUAAAGUAAAAAUGAAUAAUGAUGUAAAAAAACCACUAGCAGUGAUAUAUAAUUUUUACAAUUUUGCCCUAGUUCUUAUAAAUUUCAAAAGAUGCUCAUGAGCACUUCAUAUGCUUUGUGUGGAAAAAUAUAGUUAUUUGUUUUUUCUGUUCUUAAACUUCAUAAGCAAUAGUUUGUAAAUUUAAGUACUAAUUUGUCAUGGAAAUUAUCUGUACAUUUUAUUCCUAAGAACAUUUUUCAAUAAAUUUACAACCUUUUCCCAUAAU
This is a long non-coding RNA of Zonotrichia leucophrys gambelii, 910 nucleotides long. RefSeq lists it as uncharacterized. The record is from RefSeq and is a predicted model, not a curated record. The transcript has 3 exons. NCBI's taxonomy places the organism in Eukaryota, Metazoa, Chordata, Aves, Passeriformes, Passerellidae.